RNAcentral lists this ribosomal RNA (1367 nucleotides) under Scolytinae sp. BMNH 1040174. Its description in RNAcentral is "16S ribosomal RNA". The stretch from base 616 to 1367 matches the Rfam family "Archaeal large subunit ribosomal RNA", at positions 1423 to 2900 of the family's 2987-position model. The record is from RNAcentral. Lineage: Eukaryota; Metazoa; Arthropoda; Insecta; Coleoptera; Curculionidae.
UUAAUAGAUGUAGUUUGAGAAAUUAUUUAUCUAUAAACAUUUUAAUUAUUUUGUUAUUUAAUUGAAAAAUCAUAUUUUUUAGUAAAUUUAUUGAAAAAAAAAAUAUUGAUAUAGUGUACUAGUAUUGUGAAAGAAAAUUUAAAUUGAAGUAAAAGAAAAAAUUUUAUUUUGUACCUUGUGUAUCAGGGCUUAUUAAAAAUAGUUUAAAGAUUUAUUUUUCUCGAAUUCAAAAGAGUUAUUUGUUUAGGAUUUUUAUUGUGGCAAAAAUAUUAUUAAUAAGCAAAUAGGGGUGAAAUGCUAAUCGAUUUUGAAUAUAUCUGGUUUUUAAAGAAAAAAAUUUAAUUUUAUUUUAUUUUAGUAUUUUUUUAAGUUUUUAAUAAUUUAUUGGGUAAAAUAAAUAAUUUAGGGGUUGAGCUUUAAAUUAAAUUAAUAUAAUUAGUUUGAUUUUUAAUUUAAUAUUUAGGAAUUAAAGUUUCUUUAUAAAGUGAUUUAUAUCUUAGUUAAUUAAUUUAUAUGAUUUAUCAAAUUUAUUUAUUUUUUUUAUUUAAAUUUAGGUUUUAAUUUUUUUUAUUUAGUAAAAAUGAUAAGAUUAGUACAAUAUUGUUUAUAUUUAAAUAAAAAUUAAAGGUUUAUUUAAGGAAUUCGGCAAAAAUAUUUCCCACCUGUUUAUUAAAAACAUGUCUUUUUGAAUAUAAUUUAAAGUCUGACCUGCCCAAUGAUUUAAGUAUUAAAUGGCCGCGGUAUACUGACCGUGCAAAGGUAGCAUAAUCAUUAGUUUUUUAAUUGAAAGCUUGUAUGAAGGGUUUGAUGAGGAAAAAUCUGUCUCAAUAAAAAUUUAUUGGAAUUUUAUUAUUUUGUAAGAAGGCAAAAAUUUCUAUAAAAGACGAGAAGACCCUAUAGAGUUUUAUAUUUAAAGUGAAAAUGGUUAUUAGAAUUUUUUUCCUUAUUUAUUUUAAUUAUUUGGUUGGGGUGAUUGAAUAAUUUAAUAAACUUUUUUUAUUUUAUAUACAUUGAUAAAUGAAUAUUUGAUCCUUUAUUAAAGAUUAAAAGAAAAAAUUACCUUAGGGAUAACAGCGUUAUUUUUCUAGAGAGUUCUAAUCGAAAGGAAAGUUUGCGACCUCGAUGUUGGAUUAAAAUUUAUGUUUGGUGUAGAGGCUAAACUAUUAGGUCUGUUCGACCUUUAAAAUUUUACAUGAUCUGAGUUUAGACCGGCGUGAGCCAGGUUGGUUUCUAUCUUUAUAAUGUUAAUAUUUUUUAGUACGAAAGGACCAAAAAUUUACUAAAAUAGUUUUAUAUUGAAUACUAUUACUGCUUUGACAGAAUAGUGUGAUAGAUUUAGAAUCUUUUUAUAUAGUGAUGAACUAUAA